ACUCAAAUGAAUUGACGGGGACCCGCACAAGCGGUGGAACAUGUGGUUUAAUUCGAUGCAACGCGAAGAACCUUAUCCAGGCCUUGACAUGCCCUCUAUGGACUUUUGAAAGAAGGUCCUUCACUUCGGGUGGGAGGUGCACAGGUGCUGCAUGGCUGUCGUCAGCUCGUGUCGUGAGAUGUUGGGUUAAGUCCCGCAACGAGCGCAACCCUCGUCCUCUGUUGCUAACAGGUAAUGCUGAGAACUCUGAGGAAACUGCCGGUGAUAAGCCGGAGGAAGGUGGGGAUGACGUCAAGUCCUCAUGGCCCUUAUGGCCUGGGCUACACACGUGUUACAAUGGCAGUGACAACGGGUUGCUACUCCGCGAGGAGAUGCUAAUCCCUUAAAAACUGCCUCAGUUCGGAUUGCACUCUGCAACUCGAGUGCAUGAAGCUGGAAUCGCUAGUAAUCGCGGAUCAGAACGCCGCGGUGAAUACGUUCCCGGGUCUUGCACACACCGCCCGU
Molecule: ribosomal RNA, 504 nt
Filed under: uncultured bacterium
Lineage: Bacteria
Description: partial 16S ribosomal RNA
Rfam family: Bacterial small subunit ribosomal RNA
Source: RNAcentral